CCUACGGGGUGCAGCAGUGGGGAAUAUUGCACAAUGGGGGAAACCCUGAUGCAGCGACGCCGCGUGAGUGAAGAAGUAAUUCGUUACGUAAAGCUCUAUCAGCAGGGAAGAAACACUGACCUUACGGUCAGCAGACGGUACCUGAGUAAGAAGCCACGGCUAACUACGUGCCAGCAGCCGCGGUAAUACGUAGGGGGCAAGCGUUAUCCGGAUUUACUGGGUGUAAAGGGAGCGUAGACGGUGCGCCAAGUCUGGAGGGAAAUGCCGCAGCUUAACUGCGGAACUGCUUUGGAAACUGGCGAACUAGAGUGCGGGAGGGGUAAGCGGAAUUCCUAGUGUAGCGGUGAAAUGCGUAGAUAUUAGGAGGAACACCGGUGGCGAAGGCGGCUUACUGGACCGUAACUGACGUUGAGGCUCGAAAGCGUGGGGAGCAAACAGGAUUAGAUACCCUAGUAGUC
RNAcentral lists this ribosomal RNA (458 nucleotides) under uncultured bacterium. RNAcentral's name for it is "partial 16S ribosomal RNA". It matches the Rfam family "Bacterial small subunit ribosomal RNA", at positions 338 to 795 of the family's 1533-position model. The record is from RNAcentral.